RNAcentral lists this ribosomal RNA (285 nucleotides) under uncultured bacterium. RNAcentral's name for it is "partial 16S ribosomal RNA". It matches the Rfam family "Bacterial small subunit ribosomal RNA", at positions 333 to 615 of the family's 1533-position model. The record is from RNAcentral.
GGAAGCCUACGGGAGGCAGCAGUGAGGGAUAUUGGUCAAUGGGCGGAAGCCUGAACCAGCCAAGUCGCGUGAGGGAAUAAGGCCCUACGGGUCGUAACCUCUUUUGCCGGGGAGCAAGGGCCGGGACGAGUCCCGGUCCGGAGAGUACCCGGAGAAAAAGCGUCGGCUAACUCCGUGCCAGCAGCCGCAGUAAUACGGAGGAUGCGAGCGUUAUCCGGAUUUAUUGGGUUUAAAGGGUGCAUAGGCGGGCUUUUAAGUCAGGGGUAAAAAUUCGGGGCUCAACCC